RNAcentral lists this unclassified non-coding RNA (218 nucleotides) under uncultured Gammaproteobacteria bacterium. RNAcentral's name for it is "contains 16S-23S intergenic spacer region". The record is from RNAcentral. Lineage: Bacteria; Pseudomonadati; Pseudomonadota; Gammaproteobacteria.
UCACGUCUUACGACGGCAGUUUCACUAGAGUUCCCAGCGUUACCUGAUGGCAACUAGUGAUGGGGGUUGCGCUCGUUGCGGGACUUAACCCAACAUCUCACGACACGAGCUGACGACAGCCAUGCAGCACCUGUGUUCCCGUUCCCUUUCGGGCACAGCCCACUUUCGAGGGCCUCCAGGACAUGUCAAGGGUAGGUAAGGUUAUUCGCGUUGCAUCG